This 75-nucleotide transfer RNA is filed under the name Actinoallomurus bryophytorum. It matches the Rfam family "tRNA". Rfam says of the family: Transfer RNA (tRNA) molecules are approximately 80 nucleotides in length. Lineage: Bacteria; Bacillati; Actinomycetota; Actinomycetes; Streptosporangiales; Thermomonosporaceae. The record is from Rfam by way of RNAcentral.
CGGGAUGUGGCGCAGUUUGGAGUGCGCGCCCGGUUCGGAACCGGGAGGACGUUGGUUCGAAUCCAGCCAUCCCGA